Erigeron canadensis is the source of this 1526-nucleotide long non-coding RNA. RefSeq lists it as uncharacterized. Lineage: Eukaryota; Viridiplantae; Streptophyta; Magnoliopsida; Asterales; Asteraceae. The record is from RefSeq and is a predicted model, not a curated record. The transcript has 4 exons.
UCCAGUUUAGUCCCAAAACUAGAAGUCGUUUAUUUGUUUAGAUUAAAAGUAUCCACAUUGCUAGCAUUUACUAAUGCCAACUCAGGAAAGCAACCUUAAUUCUGACUUGUUACGAAACCUAGUGGACCGUUUGGACUCGUUUCAGCCAGCCGUUUAUUUGUUUGGUUUAAAUGUAUCCACAAUGCUAGUAUUUACUAAUGGCAAGUUGGGAGUGACAGCCUAACUUCUGACCUGUUAUGAGACAUGUCAGACCGUUUGGACCUGGUUUUCACCAUGUCCUGUUUACCAAAACGAAUAGUUGUAUACUUGGUUGGUUUAAAAUUAUCCGCAAUGCUAGCAUUUACCAAUGUCAAGUUGGGAGAGGCAGCCUAAUUCUGACCUGUUAUGAGAUGUCUCUGACCUGUGUUUUUGACCCUAUCCAGUUUAGUCCCAAAUUGUGUUUGGUUUAAAAGCAUCCGCAUGUUAGCAUCUUCAGCUGGUGGUGGUUCUGGAGUUUAGAAAAGUGACAUAACCUAACCCAUUUAUAUGCUUAAAAAGAUUUUUGAUGCAUGCAAGAACAAGAGUUUAUGCUGCCUAAGAUUACUAUUGAAGGUUGAUGGCCAGUUGGGAAAGGCAGCGUAACUUCUGACCCGUUAUGAGACAUGUUGGACUGUUUGGACUUGAUUUUGACGAUAUCCAGUUUUGUCCCAAACAUUCGUUAUAGAGAUAGACUUGCAAUAAUUUGAGGAAAUCAUGUGAGCCGGCAGAUCAUUAAAAUCCACAGAUGGACCUGCGUAUAGAUUCUCCUGGACCUGUCUUCCUUCUGUGCAGCAAGUAUCUGAUGAAUACUUGGCCCGCUUUCGCUUAUUAAUGACAGGUGGUGCUGGGAGCUAGAUCAAGACAUCUCUUUUUCGGUGAAAACUGAAAAGCAUCAAAAGGCAACUGGAAGCUCAGCUACGUUCCUCUGUUGAAGCAUCAUUUUUUGGAAUAAUAGGGUGCCCAAAAAGGUAUGUUUAUGGCUUGGAGAGCAGACCUUGAGAGGCUGCCUACUCUCGUCGCACUAGCAAGCUGAAUUAUCCAGGUGCACUCCUUAUUAUGUUUGUUUUGUGGCAUUCACGUGGAGACUGCUGAUCAUAUUUUUGUGUCUUGUUCAAUGGCUCAGGAUGUUUGGAAUAAUAUCUCAGAUUGGUGUAGAAUCUUUUUAUCUGGGAUAAAAGAUCUUGCGCAACUGAUUUAUUCCAGGUCGUCUAAAUGGAAAAAAAAUAUUCACACAAUAUUAUGCACAGCUGCUUGGGUCUUAUGGAAGGGUAGAAAUAACAGAUUUUUAAUCACAAAGUUGCAAGUGUUCCUGGUUAUUGGUAAGAUCAAAGUAUCAAGUUUUGUUUGGGUUACAAUUAUGGGAUAGAUGGAAAAGCUUCCACCUAGCCAAUUUGUCGAUAUAACUUACAGUUUAGUUUAUGCUCCGGUGUCUGUUGUUGUAAUAUAGAUCCCCUUGUACCAGUAACUUGCUUGUAUAGUAAUAAAAGCAUUUUGCCCUUUUAAAAAUA